This 464-nucleotide ribosomal RNA is filed under the name uncultured bacterium. RNAcentral describes it as "partial 16S ribosomal RNA". It matches the Rfam family "Bacterial small subunit ribosomal RNA", at positions 339 to 795 of the family's 1533-position model. The record is from RNAcentral.
CUACGGGACGCUCCAGUGGGGAAUUUUGGACAAUGGGCGCAAGCCUGAUCCAGCCAUGCCGCGUGCAGGAAGAAGGCCUUCGGGUUGUAAACUGCUUUUGUCAGGGAAGAAAUCCUUUGGGCUAAUAUCCCGGAGGGAUGACGGUACCUGAAGAAUAAGCACCGGCUAACUACGUGCCAGCAGCCGCGGUAAUACGUAGGGUGCGAGCGUUAAUCGGAAUUACUGGGCGUAAAGCGUGCGCAGGCGGCUUUGCAAGACAGAUGUGAAAUCCCCGGGCUCAACCUGGGAACUGCAUUUGUGACUGCAAGGCUAGAGUGCGGCAGAGGGAGAUGGAAUUCCGCGUGUAGCAGUGAAAUGCGUAGAUAUGCGGAGGAACACCGAUGGCGAAGGCAAUCUCCUGGGCCUGCACUGACGCUCAUGCACGAAAGCGUGGGGAGCAAACAGGAUUAGAUACCCCUGUAGUC